Molecule: ribosomal RNA, 925 nt
Filed under: Bacillus halotolerans
Lineage: Bacteria; Bacillati; Bacillota; Bacilli; Caryophanales; Bacillaceae
Description: bacterial SSU rRNA
Rfam family: Bacterial small subunit ribosomal RNA
Source: RNAcentral
GCGGCAUGCCUAAUACAUGCAAGUCGAGCGGACAGAUGGGAGCUUGCUCCCUGAUGUUAGCGGCGGACGGGUGAGUAACACGUGGGUAACCUGCCUGUAAGACUGGGAUAACUCCGGGAAACCGGGGCUAAUACCGGAUGCUUGUUUGAACCGCAUGGUUCAAACAUAAAAGGUGGCUUCGGCUACCACUUACAGAUGGACCCGCGGCGCAUUAGCUAGUUGGUGAGGUAAUGGCUCACCAAGGCAACGAUGCGUAGCCGACCUGAGAGGGUGAUCGGCCACACUGGGACUGAGACACGGCCCAGACUCCUACGGGAGGCAGCAGUAGGGAAUCUUCCGCAAUGGACGAAAGUCUGACGGAGCAACGCCGCGUGAGUGAUGAAGGUUUUCGGAUCGUAAAGCUCUGUUGUUAGGGAAGAACAAGUACCGUUCGAAUAGGGCGGUACCUUGACGGUACCUAACCAGAAAGCCACGGCUAACUACGUGCCAGCAGCCGCGGUAAUACGUAGGUGGCAAGCGUUGUCCGGAAUUAUUGGGCGUAAAGGGCUCGCAGGCGGUUUCUUAAGUCUGAUGUGAAAGCCCCCGGCUCAACCGGGGAGGGUCAUUGGAAACUGGGGAACUUGAGUGCAGAAGAGGAGAGUGGAAUUCCACGUGUAGCGGUGAAAUGCGUAGAGAUGUGGAGGAACACCAGUGGCGAAAGCGACUCUCUGGUCUGUAACUGACGCUGAGGAGCGAAAGCGUGGGGAGCGAACAGGAUUAGAUACCCUGGUAGUCCACGCCGUAAACGAUGAGUGCUAAGUGUUAGGGGGUUUCCGCCCCCUUAGUGCUGCAGCUAACGCAUUAAGCACUCCGCCUGGGGGAGUACGGUCGCAAGACUGAAACUCAAUGGAAUUGACGGGGGCCCGCACAAGCGGUGGAGCAUGUG